GCACUUCCCGCACCGGGCCCGGGGCGGUCGGGGGGUGGAGCCGGAACGAGAGCCAAGGCGAGAGCCACGGAUAUUCCGCGGCGAAGAGGAGGCGGGACCGGGCUGCCCCGGCCUCCCGUGUAACGUUAUGCCUGUGCUCCCGCCCCUCUGCGGGGCAACCGGCCGGGUGUUUUGCAGGCCCGGCCUGGCGGGGAGGAGUCCUCGAGGUCGCGUUGCUGAGCUUCCCAGCCGCCGAAAGGCCGCGAGGUACCUCUGGCGAGAGGAGGAGGAGGAGGAAGAGGGAGAAGGCAGGAAGGGAGCCAGCCGCUUCGCUUUGAACCCAUGGAAGGACUGCAGGAUACUUUGUGCACAGAAAAACCAACAAAGUGGAGUCAACUACAUGCAGCAGCAGCUUCAUGGGCUUGAAGGAUCACUUGAAGCAUGACCUUGGGCACCUCUAUGAGGAUACAUCAGAGACUCAAAUAAGUGCAAUAGCACCUUGGUCAAUGAUAGAAAAGCCAACUAUGGAUAAAAUUAAUUCUAGAAAGGAUGAUCCUAAGAAAGAACUGUCUGAAGAAACCGGAACGUUCAGUUGUGAUUCUGAGAAAAAUACAAAUUCUGAUAAUGAAUUGGGAAAAGCAACUAAAAUUAGAACAGAACCAUGCUCCUUAUCUAAAGAUCACAGACAGACGCAUCCAUUCUUAGAACCACAUAUACUAAAGCGCAAUGAAAUUUUAAAAGACAUUAAGUUAGAGGAAGUUCAGAUAGGAACUAAAGAAAUUAAAAAGCCUCCUGAUAUGGUGAAAGAAUAUCAAACCAAACUUGACUUUGCACUUAAGUUAGGUUACUCAGAAGAGCAAGUUCAACUUGUGCUGAAUAAACUUGGUACUGAUGCUUUAAUCAAUGAUAUAUUGGGGGAACUGGUCAAACUUGGAAAUAAAACUGAGGCAGAUCAGAGUGUAAGUUCUAUUAACACUAGUGUAAUUCGAGAAGCAUCUUCUGUUGACUCUCAAAGAUCUGACUCUCCCCUUCAGGAGGAUGUGCUUGUGGAUGGUGACAACCUGAGACCAAUAGUUAUUGAUGGCAGCAAUGUGGCAAUGAGCCACGGAAACAAAGAAGUAUUCUCUUGUCGUGGGAUAAAACUGGCUGUGGACUGGUUUUUGGAAAGAGGACAUAAAGAUGUCACAGUGUUUGUUCCAGCAUGGAGAAAAGAGCAGUCUCGACCAGAUGCACUCAUUACAGAUCAAGAAAUAUUGCGUAAAUUGGAAAAAGAGAAAAUUCUGGUGUUCACUCCAUCACGGCGAGUUCAAGGGAGGAGGGUGGUAUGCUAUGAUGACAGAUUCAUAGUGAAGUUGGCAUUUGAGUCAGAUGGUAUAAUUGUAUCUAAUGAUAACUACAGGGAUCUAGCUAAUGAAAAGCCAGAAUGGAAGAAAUUUAUUGAUGAGCGACUCCUGAUGUAUUCAUUUGUCAAUGACAAAUUCAUGCCUCCAGAUGAUCCUCUUGGCCGACAUGGACCAAGUCUGGAGAACUUUCUGAGGAAGAAACCUGUUGUACCAGAACAUAAGAAGCAACCCUGUCCAUAUGGGAAGAAAUGCACUUAUGGACACAAAUGCAAAUAUUACCAUCCAGAAAGAGGAAAUCAACCUCAGAGGUCAGUAGCUGAUGAACUUCGUGCCAUGUCUAGGAACACAGCUGCCAAAGCCACUAGUGAAGGAGGGCUAGUGAAAAGCAACAGUGUUCCUUGUAGUACUAAGACAGAUCACACUACAGAUCUCAAGCGAACUACUCCAAAGAGGCAAUCGGAUCCUAGCAUAAGGACUCAAGUCUACCAAGACUUGGAAGAAAAGCUUCCCACCAAAAAUAAAUUGGGAACCAGGUCUGUACCUUCUUUAGUUAGUAUACCAAGUUCUGCUGCUGCAAAACCCCAAAGUACUGCACCUUUAACCAAUGGCCUUCCAUCUGGAGUUCAUUUCCCACCUCAGGAUCAAAGACCACAGGGACCGUAUUCUCCAGUGAUAAUGACAACCAAAAAUUAUGGAACGCCAAUGCCUUAUGAGCAGUAUCCCAAAUGUGAUUCUCCUGUGGAUGUAGGUUAUUACUCUAUGCUCAGUGCAUAUUCAAAUCUAAGUAUCUCUGGUCCCCGAAGUCCCGAACGACGUUUCUCUUUGGACACAGAUUACAGAAUUAGUUCUGUGGCUUCUGAUUGUAGUAGUGAAGGGAGCAUGAGUUGCGGCAGUAGCGAUUCCUACAUGGGCUACAACGAUAGAUCCUAUGUGAGUUCUCCUGACCCUCAACUGGAAGAGAAUUUAAAAUGUCAACAUAUGCAUCCCCAUAGCCAUCUGAACUCACAGUCGUUCUUACAGAGUUACCACGAUACACUAACCAGAGUGCAGAGUUAUAGUCAUGAAGAACCAAAGCAUCAUCCAAAGCCUCUCACUCCAUACAUGGCCGUGCACUUUCAGCAUCCAAACAUGGGAAGCCGUUCUACUUGUCCUAUUGACUACCCUGCUUCUCAGAGUUCACAGCAUUCAAAAAGCAUGCCUCUGGGGAGAGCUCUUGCAUCCACAAGACUGGACAGUGUAUCAGACUCACGCUUGUAUGAUAAUUCUCCAUUGAGAAAAAGAAAAACAUACUCCGCUCAAGAUGGACUCGGUAGUUGGGAUAGGCCAGGCUAUGGGAUGGAUACAUAUGGCUAUCGUCAAACUUACUCUUUACCCAGUAAUCCCACCCCACCAUGUUACGAGCAGUUUACUUUCCAAAGCUUACCAGAGCAACCCGAUCAGCCUUGGCAGAUACCUUACUGUGGAAUGCCUCAAGACCUUCCAAGGUACCAAGAUAGUCGAGAGAAAGUCUACAUCAACCUGUGCAACAUUUUCCCGCCUGAUCUGGUGAGGAUUGUUAUGAAAAGGAAUCCUCACAUGGCAGAUGCUCAGCAGCUUGCUGCAGCCAUUUUAGUGGAAAAGUCUCAGCUAGGUUAUUGAUGACAUGAUAUUGAUGAUGCAUCUUUAUGGUGUCUAUUAGUUCAGUUUCAGCUGUAUUGCUGAGGGAGGUUUGCUACAAUAGCAUUUGUGAUCUCUUUCUCAGCAAGGAGGUUAUAUAGUAAUCCAUAUAUGUGAAAUACUGUGCCAUGGAACCUGUAUGUACAACCCCAGACACUGGAAGUAACAGGAUUUAUUUUAAAUACUCAGUUUUUUAAAAAAAAAUAUUUCAUGGCUGGAAUGUCUCUCCAGCUGAAUAUAUUAAAAAACUAUGAUGUCUCAAGUAAGAAUCCCUAGUGCAUGUGGGUUUUAUAUGCAGCACUUUUUAAUAUUUGUUACAUAUUUAUUAAAUUAUUGGGUGUUUUAUCCUUCAAGUGCAAAGCAUUUUUUUCAAAACAGCAGAAAACUGAAGAGGAUUUUAUGUGCCCAGCCAACUUUUUUUCAAGUCAAGCUUAUUAGGAUCUAUUUUUUCAUAAUUAAGUUAUUUAAUUUUAUUGUGUGAUUUUUCUUUGUAUAUAAUCAUUUUAUUUAUAGAAAACAACAGUCUUUUACAGCACUGAAUUUUUUUAAUGUAUAAGUUACCAGUUUUUACAUUGAAAUGGGUAACAAUAUAUUAGUACUUUAUAGUAUGGCACUUUUUAAUUUGUUUGGCUAUGGAUUUAAUUUAUUUGUUGAUUACUGUUAAUUUUGGUGUAAGCAGAAGCAAUCAGUAGGAGAGAAACCUGUUUUUAUUAAUUUAUUAUGCAGAUGAAAAAAACUUUUAUGUGCAGGUUCUGAAAUUAUUAAGCUUAUCCAGUUCUUGAUUGUCACAAAUUUGACUACAAAUAUAUCCGUUUAGUCAGUAAUCUUGUGCAGCCAAUGUACAUUUCCAUUAAUCAGAAAUGGCAUUGAAAAGUGUAUCCCUUGUUCCUUUACUUAAUGCACAGGUAUUUCAUAAAAUAACUGUUUUUAAAGAAACAAAUUGUGUUCUCAAUGCAAUUUUUGUAUAUAAGAUUGUGUAUUUUCAUGCUAUUUAUUGAGAAGGUUUUAACAUUGUGUUCAGGAAAUGCAACAUCUUAACUGCACUAUAGUAAUGGUAAUUAUAGAUAAAAACAGCACAUUCGUUUUGUGAAAUACUGUAUAGAAUUAGCUUUGUCUGGCCUAUUGCAUUAUAUAGGCCCAAUUCUUGCCAUGAACAACAUAGCUUUAGAAGCAGACACUGUCAUUUCUUCUAGUAUUAGUAUGGGAGAUUUCUGGUUUUAAGUUUUGAGCUUUUCUAGCUCUUGUAAAAUGUAAUUUUACAUAAAUAGAGUUAACAGUAGAUCUCACAGUGCCUGAUACCGUAAACAUCAUGAUUGACUGCUCAUAUAGUCCCUUCAGAGCUUCACACUGUGAUGAUUCCCAAGUUUACAUAAUCACUGCUGAUAACUGGGUAAGAGGACUGCAACUUGAAGAUGCUGUAGAACCAGAAAGUACCUACGCUGUUGAUACAAAUUGUAUCUUUAACUAUUAGAACUAUUUAAUUUAUAGAUCUGACUUUUAAAAAGAACAUUGAAUUGUAUGAAAAUGAUUUUAGACUUUGGGCAACAUUUUAUCUUUUAUUUUAAAAAAAAAAAAAUAGUUCAAACCUAAACUUCUGUUUUGUUUUGUUUUGUUUUGUUUUGUUUUGUUUUAAUACCCCCUUGGCCAUUUAUCAUAAAACCGAGUAACUAAAAAUAAUGAUAAAAUGCUGCCUAAAAAGAUGUCCAAGCACCUUGUGAAUACAUUUUCACUACUUACGCAACACUGUGUGUUGUAAGAAGUAGAAUGUUGAUACACAGUAAAUGCUUCUGCAAAGCAUUAUACUUUUAGAGGUAUCCAGUAAUCUGAACCAUGUUCAGCAACUUUAAUUCAGGAAUUACUCUUCUACAGUGUUCACUAUUGUAUAAUCAAAGAGGAUAUCGCUUCUGUUAGGUUCAUCUUAUAUUUUGUCCAUUUCUCCUGAAGAAAAACCUCUUUCAAUAUUUCUUUAUUUUGUCCUCAACGUCCUUGUUCCUUGCUUUUGCUAAAUAUAUUUUGUUGGGAGAGAUUGUAUAUUUUGCAUAGGUAUGCAGAUCCUCUUUCCUUUGAUAUAGAACUGACUUGUUGCAGAGGGCUUAUUAUUCACAUGUAACUUCAAAGAUUUUAUAACAAGUAUUCAUGCAUCCUUAAAAUAUAACUGGAUUGGUUGCGGCUGGUGAGGGCGAAAUGCAGAAACAUGAUUUCUGGAAUAGAAGCAUUUUAUAUUUAUUUUCAGUUGAUGUAUAUGGAAUCAUACUUAGGAUUGACUGCAGCAUCCUUUCUUGAAAAAAGGAUAUGAUUGUACAUUGUGUGUUAUAGUGUUAAAAUGUGCAAUUGCUGGACUCGCGUAAUGCAGAAUUUAAACGCAUUGAAGAGAAAUGUGCUGGCUUAACUGAAUUUAGGGCACAUGGCAGCUCUGCUUUGAUGCUCAUCUUCAGAGCUGAUAUGGUCUUCUCUAGUUACAAUUAAAAGCAGGUUUCUCCCCCAUCCCAUCCCACACCAUACCACAUAAAUGUCUCAGUUGUGUUCCACUGCAAUAACUUAACAUAACUGGCUCUACUGUGUACUGCAUUUUACAGAAAGCGCAGAGUGUGAAAUAAUCAAUUUUCUGCCCUCCUUCUAUCAUUCUUUAGUAGGAAUACUUGGUUUGGGCUAAGUGUAAUUCUGCCAUCUUAUAAAUGGUUCAAUUUGAUUAUGCUCAUUUUUGUUCUUUUUUGUGCUGCACAGGUCUUUAAUAAGCUAUUUGAGUAAAAAGUGUUCUUUUAAGUUCUAACAUUUAGAAAAUCCAGGAAUGUUUGGUUACCUGUUACCUGCAUACCUUAUGUGGUCAGGGUAUAGAAGCAGGAAAGCCAGAUGAAAAUGAACUACCUAAGGCCUCGUAAGGCCCAAGAAACUCAAGGAUCAGUCACUCACUCUUAAAUCCGAUCUGCUGAAGAGGCUUGCUCUUGCUGGAGAAAAAUUGGAGGCAGAAAUGAAUUGUUCACCUCCCUGAGCUCCUGGAAGAAAGACGGGAUAGCUAACAUUCAACCCAAUGAUCUAUUGUUGACAGCUUUAAUCCUUUAGUUCAGCGGUUCUCAACCUGUGGGUCGCGACCCUGUUGGGGGUCGAAUGACGAUUAGCCGGGGGUCGCCUAAGACUAUCGGAAAUAUGGGAAGUAUACUUGCGAGUCGAAGAAUCGCGAAUUCGGCUUCAGGCGCAAUGAAUUAAAAAAGAGAGAAAUCUUUGCUCUCAAGCCAGCUGCAAUCACUCCCAAUCGCUAGCCUAAUCUGGCUUCAGGCGCGAUAAACUUAAUAGGGGAGGAGUCUCCGCUUUAAUGCCUCCGUCCUCAAGGCAAUCGCAAGCACUUCAGAUCGCUAGCCAAUACAGCUUCAGGUGCGAUAAAUUCAAAAAAACAUUUUGCCGCUCCCCCCCACCCCACCCCCCGUUGAGGCGCACUGAGAUCACUGCCUAAAAAAAAAAAUACAGUUGGGGUCGCCACAUCGUGGGGAAUUGUAUUAAAGGGGUCACAGCACUAUAAAGGUUGAGAACCACUGCUUUAGUUCAACUCUUUUUGACAUGAUACACCAGAUAUUCAGAGGUUGCUGUUAUUGUUCACCUCCUGAAACUGGUUCUUCUAGAACAGAGGUUGGAGCCAUCUGUUCUAGAGUAUAUUUUAGUAGGUUUUCAGAAAUGCUGUGUUGUGCUGGAAUAAAAAAAGAGAAUAAUUAUAGUAGAUCUGAUCUAUUUCGUAUCAAAUGGUUGAUGAAAUUCAGAAACACACCCACCAACUGUAUGCACUUCCAUUAACACGAGGAUUAAUUUACAUUAUCUCAAAGAGUCUUUUCAUUGAGCAAAUUAAAAAAACAUGCAUGAUUGGUGCAUUCAUGCAUAUCAAUUUUGGAUCCAGGCAAUUAUGAUUGUAAAGUUUAAAUGUAAGUUUAUUGGGUAAAAUUUUAGCCUUGAAUGUUCAUACAAUUUACACUUUGUUCCAUAAUUACAGAAGUUGUCCUGGACAAAAUGAAAAUAUAAUUAUGUUAUUUUUGGCAGUUAUGGAUGGAUAUCAAUAACUGGAAUCAUUUCAGUAUUUGCAAUGUACCGAUACAUAGGAGUUCAUAGUGUUAUAUUUUGUGCAAAUGCCUACAUUUGUACAAAUACUUUUUAAAGAUAAACUGAAGUUUUCAGCGGCUUUGUGUGUUUCACAUUAACAUUUUUGAAACUUCUAUAAUCUUUUUAAAAUAAAUAUGUUUUCUUAGAUAUGAGACUCAAAUAUUAUUAGUUUUAGGAAAGUAUCAUUGUAUUGUUAUAGCUAACCUUUUAUUCCUAAAUUCCCGGGCAUAUCAAAAAUUAUUUUUUAUGAGAAAAUGUAAUUGCAGCCCCUUCUUUUUGCGGCUGCGAUGCAUUAGAAUGUCAUUUUAAAUCUGAUAAUACUACGGAAAAUAAAACACAAUAUUGAUGUUUUGUGGUAUAGCGAAGGCUUUCCUUUAAAUUAUUUCUACUGCUUUGCUUGCAGGAAUUUUUCACUUCAGUGCAGAGGGUUUCUCUCCUUUUACAGUUCUAAACUACAAAAGAAGCAAUUUGCAAAUGGGCCAUUCAAUACACCCCAGUCUUUAGUUGCUUUCUUAGUUGAAAGAAUGGUGUGAUCUUGCCCAAAAUAUACAAGGUUCUUGAAAUAGAGUUGGAACUUUAAAAACAAGGGAGAGGCAGAAUGAUUGUGAAAAACUUCAGCAAUAACAAAACCAAGAUGUUUUAUCAUGGUUGCUUCUAUUCUUAAUGAGGUUUACAAAGAUUUGGGUAGACAAACCCAUAGCUUUAGUUCAUUUAGUUCAUUCUUUUUAAAGCUAUCUAAAUUCUCUGCUCUUUUUUCCCUUCAAACUGUUCAAUUUGGGUGUAGUCAUUAUAGAUCCAUUUAAAUCUAUGGAACUGAAAUUAGUAUCUACAGGAUUGAAGACAGUCCUAGUGAUUUUGCUCUAUCUGCUUUUGAUUUUAGAAGUAUUAGUAGUUUCUGUAGUAUCCAUGAAUAUUGUCCAUCAUGGUACUGUCAGCAAAUCAGCAAUAAAACUUAAAUAUUCCUUAGCUUUGGAUGUUGUGUCCAUUAUAUGUUAAGUAUACAUUAAAAUGGAACAGUAUUAAAUACUGUGAUCUAUGCCUUUUUAUUCUAAUCUCUCUACCCUUUUCUUCCCUUUCUUUUAUGUGUAUGUGUAUUUUCGGGUUUUAUUCCUUUAAUAUUAUCCCCUCACUUGCCUAUCUUCCUUCCAGUUUAACUUACUUCUCACAAUAAAUCCACUUUCUACUUGCCUCCUCUAUGAGUUACUCAAAUUAUUUACUUCCAUUCUGUGCCUACCCUUUUCUUGUGAUACAUACCCAUAUAGAUUGUAACACCUAUAUACAAAUACCAUGUUAUAGCAGAGAAAAUAGAGCCUGGUGUUUUAAAAAAUAUUCAGUAGUAUUUGUGGAUAUAUUUCCUAAUUUGUGGAUAUAUUGAAAUGUUAAAUAAGCCGUUAAUUCAUAUCUGUUGACAUGUCUUGAUAAAAUAAUAAAGAAAAAUAGUUAUUUUGUUAUUUGUGGCUGGGAAAUUUAAUUCUUAAAACAUAAACUAGUAAAAUUGAAACUUAAAAUAGGAUUGAUACAUUCAAGAUCAAGUUUGAGACAGAUUGAUAUGCAUUAUACAGUCAAGUUGUAGGUGGUAUUGUAUUUAACCAUUGAACAAGCCUUUCUUUAAAGCUUACACUUGAUGAUAAAAUAGUCCAUAUUUCUGUAAUUUGUGACUAUCUACAUCUUAUUUCAGUAUAUACAGGUGAAACUCGAAAAAUUAGAAUAUCGUGCAAAAGUUCAUUUAUUUCAGUAAUGCAACUUAAAAGGUGAAACUAAUAUAUAAGGUAGACUCAUUACAUGCAAAGCAAGAUAGUUCACGCCUUGAUUUGUCAUAAUUUUGAUGAUUAUGGCUGACAGCUCAUAAAAACCCCAAAUUCACAAUCUCAGAAAAUUAGAAUAUUAUAUGAAAUCAAUAAAACAAGGAUUGUACAUAGAACAAUAUCGGACCUCUGAAAAGUAUAAGCAUGCAUACAUACUCAGUACUUGGUUUGGGCCCCUUUUGCAUCAAUUACUGCCUCAAUGCAGUGUGGCAUGGAUGCUAUCAGCCUGUGGCACUGCUAAGGUGUUAUGGAAGACCAGGAUGCUUCAAUAGUGGCCUUCAGUUCUUCUGCAUUGUUCGGUCUCAUGUCUCUCAUCUUUCUCUUGGCAAUGCCCCAUAGAUUCUCUAUGGGGUUCAGGUCAGGCGAGUUUGCUGGCCAAUCAAGCACAGUAAUCCCAUGGCAUUGAACCAGGUUUUGGUACUUUUGGCAGUGUGGGCAGGUGCCAAGUCCUGCUGGAAAAUGAAGUCAGCAUCCCCAUAAAGCUCAUCUGUGGAAGGAAGCAUGAAGUGCUCCAAAAUCUCAUGGUAGACAGCUACGUUGACCCUGGACUUAAUGAAGCACAGUGGACCAACACCAGCAGAUGACAUGGCUCCCCAAAUCAGCACAGACUGUGGAAACUUCACACUGGACUUCAAGCAUCUUGCAGUGUGUGCCUCUCCAUUCUUCCUCCAGACUCUGGGUCCUUGGUUUCCAAAUGAGAUGCAAAAGUUGCUCUCAUCAGAAAAGAGGACUUUGGACCACUGAGCAACAGACCAGUUCUUUUUUUCUUUAGCCGAGAUAAGACGCUUCUGAUAUUGUUUGUUGUUCAGGAGCGGCUUGACGAGGAAUACAACAUUUGAAGCCCAUGUCCAGGAUCCGUCUGUGUGGUGGCUCUUGAAGCACUGACUCCAGUCUCAGUCCACUUCUUGUAAAAGUCCCCAACACUUUUGAAUGGCCUUUUCCUGACAAUCCUCUCCAGGCUGCGGUCAUCCCUGCUGCUUGUGCACUUUUUUCUUCCACACUUUUCCCUUCCACAUAACUUUCCAUUAAUGUACUUUGAUACAGCACUUUGGGGACAUCCAACUUCUUUUGCAAUUACCUUUUGAGGCUUUCCCUCCUUAUGGAAGGUGUCAAUGAUGGUUUUCUGCACAACUGUCAGGUCAGCAGGCUUUCCCAUGAUUGUGAUUCCUACUGAACCAGACUGAGAGACCAUUUAAAGGCUCAGGAACCCUUUGCAGGAGUUAUGGUUUAAUUAACUGAUUAGGUGGGACACUGAGCCUAGAAUAUUGAACCUUUUCACAGUAUUCUAAUUUUCUGAGAUUGUGAAUUUGGGGAUUUCAUGAGCUGUAAGCCAUAAUCAUCAAAAUUAUGACAAGGCUUGAACUAUCUUGCUUUGCAUCUAAUGAGUCUAUCUCAUAUAUUAGUUUCACCUUUUAAGUUGCAUUACUGAAAUAAAUGAACUUUUGCACGAUAUUCUAAUUUUUCGAGUUUCACCUUUAUAUCGGCAUAGUUGAAACUGUGAUGAAUUCUAUAUGUGUAGAAAUGAGAGUUUAGAUGCUUAAAUGGUGCUUAAUACUAAAUAGCAGUAAACAUCAAUUUGAUCUUGCUUUUUUUU
This is an RNA transcript of Ahaetulla prasina, 10460 nucleotides long. It is a transcript of the gene named zinc finger CCCH-type containing 12C, with no coding region annotated. The transcript is spliced from 7 exons. The record is from RefSeq and is a predicted model, not a curated record. Lineage: Eukaryota; Metazoa; Chordata; Lepidosauria; Squamata; Colubridae.